CCUACAGCAUGCAGAAAUUCCCAGGCCUGGGACCAAACCCAUGCCACAGCAACAACACAAGCCACUGCGGUGACAGACCCAGAUACUUAACCCACUGAGCUACACAGAAAUUCCAGGGACAGUUUCUUUAAUUGGCUUCCAGUCUCUAUCCUUUUACUACCUUUUCUUGCUGUAUUGUGCUGCUUAUACCUUAAAACUUCUAGCGCUACGUUGAAUUCAUACUUCAUUGCAGCUGCCAACCUACAUGACAGCUCACAGCAAAGCCGGAUCCUUAACCCCACUGAGGGAGGCCAGGGAUUGGACCCACAUCCUCAUGGAUACUAGUCAGGUUCUUAUCCUACUGAGCCACAAUUAGGUCUCUGAAAUCCCAGUUAUGAUGGGGGAUUUUUCAGGUCCUGUCUCUGUUUAGGCAAGACGUAGAAAUAUGUAAAGGAGGCCUUAUAUCUAAAUUGAGCUGGCAGAAACUGAACUAUGGUUGUUCUGUCAAGGUGCAGAGUCAGAAAUACUUCUGUUUAGAGUUCCUGUUGUGGCUCAGCGGCUUAAGAACCUGACUGCUAUCCAUGAGCAUGUGGGUUUGAUCCUUGGCCUUGCUCAGUGGGUUAAGGAUACACCACUGCCCAGAGCUGUGGUGUAGGUCACAGAUGCUGCUCUGAUCACAUUGCUGUGGCCAUGGGGUAGGCCAGCAGCUGCAGCUUCCAUUCAACCCCUAGCCUGGGAACUUCCAUAUGCUGCACAGCCCUAAAAGGAAAAAUUUAUGAAAAAAAUCCCUCUGUGUUUAGAGGCUAGAAAUAUCACAUUCAAGAGAUCUUGCUGUGGCAUAGCAAUUUCUCUGCAGUGCCAGGAUGCAGGUGAGAUCCCUGGCCCAGCACAGCAGGUUGAAGGAUCUGCCGUUGCUGCAGCUGUAGCAUAGGUCAAAACUGCAGCUUAGAUCUGAUCCCUGGCCCGGGAAUUCCAUAGGCCAUGAGGCACCCCCUCCAAAAAAUAAAACAAAGAAACAAACCACAUUCACAGGGAGUAUUGGGCCCAGUGAUCUGUCCACCUGUGCACAGGUCUGUCCUCUCCUCUCUCCAUCCUGGACCCUCUUGACUUGUUCUCCCAGCAUCCUCCUUCCUAGAGCUUUGUGGAGUUUAGAAGAAAAAUAAUCACUAGAUUGAGAUAUCUGGGCUCUGUUUCUCUGGAGAAAUGUAUGCCAGGGUCCUAAGAUUCUAAGCUUAGGAACUCAGCUUUGUCAUCAGAUAAGAUAUUUGCCCUGAGAAGUCAAAAAAUACUAAUGGCUUUUGAAAUUCACUCGUGUUAUCAUGCUUCUGGAUGGACACACCUGUUCCCAAUUCUGUAGCUACAUGUUACUUCAUGCUUUGACAUCUUUAACAUACCAGCUGCAUGCUCGAGCUGGAACGCCUUCAUGAGUUUUGGUGGACAGCGAGGGACGGAGUGGUCAGUGAGCAAAGACUGAAGACACAUUCAGACAUACUGAGCUUCUUUUACUCUGCUUUGGUGUCCACCCUCUGUGACUUUGUGUUUUCUACUGCUCUGUGUCUGUUCAGGGAUUUCCACUCAGCGUGGUUACUUCUGUUUUCCCUGAGCAAAGCCCAAGCUAAUUGUAAUCUUUCUGAGCAGAAAUCAGUCCCUGUGCAUGUGACUUCACCAUGGCUCGUUCCUUCUGGGCCCCCAUCUUCUACCUUUCCUUGUGCAGUUGUUGGAUGUUAACUAUUUUUUGCUUUGUUUUGCUUGGUUUUUUUUUUAGGGCCGCACCUAUGGAGGUUCCCAGGCUAGGGGUCUAAUUGGAGCUACAGCUGCAGGCCUACACCACAGCCACAGCAACGCCAGAUCCGAGCCACAGGCGGCUCUUAAAAAAAUAUUUAAAAAAAGAGAGAGAGAGAAAGAUCUCCUAACAGAAGAGAGAAGGGGAAAAGAUGGUAGUCUUCAACUGCUGUCAUGUGUUUCCAUCUGAGAAACAAGAACUAACUAUAUUAAGAGGCUCCUUGUAACAUUUGUAAGGCACUGACUUUUAGAAUAGGUCCCUCCAACCUCAGAUAGAGCUAAGAAAGAAAAGUAUAUCUGACCUUAGGCCCUUUCCUUCCUUCCUGUGUAUCUGACCACUGCAGCUUUAGAAGCUAGAACUUCAGGAAGUCAGCAAGGCCUAAGGUGCUAGACAGUUCAGGGAUGGUGCCAACUUUCAGCAUUAUUGGGAUAAUGUCCAAAACUUCUAAGGUUUCAACCCAAACCUGAAGGAUCUGCUACUGGCAUAUUCCAGAAAAACCAGAGAGCCAUCUUAUUUUGGUGGAAGCUUGAAGUGAUGGCUGUGCCAUUAUUUACCUAUUAUUGCUUGGGCCAAGCCUACCUUUCUCUGUUCCACUCUGCCUUGCUGGGCCUGGAGUCUGUAAACUGCAUUUUCCAAGUUCCCUUGCCACCUGAUUUCUUUCCAGGUCCUGCCCAUGGAAGGUGCUGGUGGGAGGCUGGAAGGUGGCAAGGAAGGGCAUCCCUCAGUCUUCAGCUACUGCAGCUCUCCACAAGGGCACCCCCCAAAGGCUGGAGCCCCUGCUGCACAGACCCUCUUAGAGAUCCCAGCACCAGCUGGUGGUGGCCCAUCCCUUUUGCAUGAAAUGCCUAGAGUGGAUUCUAUGUCCUGGGUGUUAAUUGAUAGGAUACUUGGUACCAGGAUUAGGAGUGAUUUCCCACCUAGUGGAACACAUUGGACUUUCUCAUGCAUCUGAGGUACUCUCCUCCUCCUGUUCCCCAGUCUACUCAGUGAGAUGUCACGAAUAUAAUGGAUCUAUGUGAUGUUCUGUGGAAUGUCAGGAAGAUGAAGUUCUCUGCUGAUACAAUGAUGGGAAGGAGAGGUGAUGUGACCCUGAGGCUAGACAAGUAAUGUAUUGCUGUCUCUGAAAUACCUCCUUCCCAACUGGUGGUUAAUGAAUCUGACUAGGAACCAUGAGGUUGUGGGUUCGGUCCCUGCCCUUGCUCAGUGGGUUAACGAUCCGGCAUUGCCAUAAGCUGUGGUGUAGGUUGCAGACGCGGCUUGGAUCCCGCGUUGCUAUGGCUCUGGCGUAGGCUGGUGGCUACAGCUCCGAUUCGACCCCUAGCC
This 3085-nucleotide long non-coding RNA is filed under the name Sus scrofa (pig). RNAcentral describes it as "lncRNA (ENSSSCG00000056836.1, ENSSSCG00130024251.1)". The record is from RNAcentral. Lineage: Eukaryota; Metazoa; Chordata; Mammalia; Artiodactyla; Suidae.